ACUUCGGUCCUAGCGGCGAACGGGUGAGGAAUGCUUGGGAAUCUGCCUAGUAGUGGGGGAUAACGUUUCGAAAGGAACGCUAUUACCGCAUACGCCCUACGGGGGAAAGGGGGGGAUCUUCGGACCUCUCGCUAUUAGACGAGCCCAAGUCGGAUUAGCUAGUUGGUGGGGUAAAGGCUCACCAAGGCGACGAUCCGUAGCUGGUCUGAGAGGAUGAUCAGCCACACUGGAACUGAGACACGGUCCAGACUCCUACGGGAGGCAGCAGUGGGGAAUAUUGGACAAUGGGCGAAAGCCUGAUCCAGCCAUGCCGCGUGUGUGAAGAAGGCCUUCGGGUUGUAAAGCACUUUAAGCGAGGAGGAAUGGCUCUGGGUUAAUACCCUUGAGCAGUGACGUUACUCGCAGAAUAAGCACCGGCUAACUCUGUGCCAGCAGCCGCGGUAAUACAGAGGGUGCAAGCGUUAAUCGGAAUUACUGGGCGUAAAGCGCGCGUAGGCGGUUGUAUAAGUUGGGUGUGAAAUCCCCGGGCUCAACCUGGGAAUUGCACUCAAAACUGUACGGCUAGAGUGUGGGAGAGGAAGGUAGAAUUCCAGGUGUAGCGGUGAAAUGCGUAGAUAUCUGGAGGAAUACCGAUGGCGAAGGCAGCCUUCUGGCCUAACACUGACGCUGAGGUGCGAAAGCAUGGGGAGCAAACAGGAUUAGAUACCCUGGUAGUCCAUGCCGUAAACGAUGUCUACUAGCCGUUGGGGGACUUGAUCCUUUAGUGGCGCAGCUAACGCAUUAAGUAGACCGCCUGGGGAGUACGGUCGCAAGACUAAAACUCAAAUGAAUUGACGGGGGCCCGCACAAGCGGUGGAGCAUGUGGUUUAAUUCGAUGCAACGCGAAGAACCUUACCUGGCCUUGACAUGUC
Molecule: ribosomal RNA, 911 nt
Filed under: uncultured bacterium
Lineage: Bacteria
Description: bacterial SSU rRNA
Rfam family: Bacterial small subunit ribosomal RNA
Source: RNAcentral